CCUACGGGAGGCAGCAGUGAGGAAUAUUGGUCAAUGGACGAGAGUCUGAACCAGCCAAGUAGCGUGAAGGAUGACUGCCCUAUGGGUUGUAAACUUCUUUUAUAUGGGAAUAAAAUGUCCCACGUGUGGGAUUUUGUAUGUACCAUAUGAAUAAGGAUCGGCUAACUCCGUGCCAGCAGCCGCGGUAAUACGGAGGAUCCGAGCGUUAUCCGGAUUUAUUGGGUUUAAAGGGAGCGUAGGUGGAUUGUUAAGUCAGUUGUGAAAGUUUGCGGCUCAACCGUAAAAUUGCAGUUGAAACUGGCAGUCUUGAGUACAGUAGAGGUGGGCGGAAUUCGUGGUGUAGCGGUGAAAUGCUUAGAUAUCACGAAGAACUCCGAUUGCGAAGGCAGUUCACUGGACUGCAACUGACACUGAGGCUCGAAAGUGUGGGUAUCAAACAGGAUUAGAUACCCGAGUAGUC
This 460-nucleotide ribosomal RNA is filed under the name uncultured bacterium. RNAcentral's name for it is "partial 16S ribosomal RNA". It matches the Rfam family "Bacterial small subunit ribosomal RNA", at positions 338 to 795 of the family's 1533-position model. The record is from RNAcentral.